AACCUCCGCAAUGUGAGAAAUCGCGACGGGGGGAUCCCAAGUGCCAUUCUUAACGGGAUGGCUUUUCAUUAGUGUAAAGAGCUUUUGGAAUAAGGGCUGGGCAAGACCGGUGCCAGCCGCCGCGGUAACACCGGCAGCUCUAGUGGUAGCUGUUUUUAUUGGGCCUAAAGCGUUCGUAGCCGGUUUGAUAAGUCACUGGUGAAAUCCUGUAGCUUAACUGUGGGAAUUGCUGGUGAUACUGUUGAACUUGAGGUCGGGAGAGGUUAGCGGUACUCCCAGGGUAGAGGUGAAAUUCUGUAAUCCUGGGAGGACCACCUGUGGCGAAGGCGGCUAACUGGAACGAACCUGACGGUGAGGGACGAAAGCUAGGGGCGCGAACCGGAUUAGAUACCCGGGUAGUCCUAGCCGUAAACGAUGCGGACUUGGUGUUGGGAUGGCUUUGAGCCGCUCCGGUGCCGAAGGGAGCUGUAGUCCGCCGCCUGGGAAGUACGGUCGCAAGACUGAAACUUAAAGGAAUU
This 518-nucleotide ribosomal RNA is filed under the name uncultured bacterium. RNAcentral's name for it is "bacterial SSU rRNA". It matches the Rfam family "Archaeal small subunit ribosomal RNA", at positions 345 to 866 of the family's 1478-position model. The record is from RNAcentral.